Culex pipiens pallens (northern house mosquito) is the source of this 1200-nucleotide long non-coding RNA. RefSeq lists it as uncharacterized. The transcript is spliced from 2 exons. Lineage: Eukaryota; Metazoa; Arthropoda; Insecta; Diptera; Culicidae. The record is from RefSeq and is a predicted model, not a curated record.
UUGACGAAACUCUUUGACAAACUCGACAAACACAUACAGCCACUUUUGACAGCUUCGUCAAAAAGCACUUUCACAUCCACUCUCAAAACAAGCUUCAAAAUCCAACAGGAUUCCAUGGAUGUCCGUCAUUUCGAGUUCGGGACUAAAAACAAAAACAAAACUCGCCACAUCCAUCCGAGCUGCCGUCGCGAGUGCACGCGAAUUCUUGCGGUCCGUGUUAAAAAGUUGGAAUAAUUCGGUUCGUCGGUUUGUUCCGGUCGGAAUCUGUGCACUAAUCUGCUCCGCAGAGUGUUUGUUUGUUGAGUGGCAAAUUACUUAAGACGCGGAAGAUCUCGGGGCCAUAAAAGGUGCUGAUUGUUUUGUUGCCUCUUUGAAGGAUGAUAAGAAAGCUUAUUAGCUUACAGAAGCUGCUCCGAGAAGUGUGGCCUGUUGAGAGGGUUCCCCACCCUCGGUCAUAAAGUGCCCCCGUGGGAACCGGGUCCAGCUGGCUGUGAAAUCGUGAAAAGAUCCAGUUCAAUCCGGAUUGGUCGAAAGUGUCGUUCCGCCGACGACGACCAUUUUCUCUACAGAGCAGGUCGUUGACAGCUGUGUGUGCCACAAAGUGGCCGCGUUCACAAAUUCGGAGUUCCCCAGAUUACUCAAAAUUGGAGAGGAUUCUGUGUCCCUAAUCAGCCAGCCCCCUCCCAGUUUCGGUGUGCGAGUAGAAAGAGAACACACGUAGCAGAGAAAACGCAGAGGAGAAGGAGGACACUGCUGCCGCUGCGAGGGGUUUUAUGUAACAACGGCCGCGAUGGUUCGACACAUAUGCUGCUGCUGCUGCUGCUUGCAGUAGUAGUGCAGAUUAUGCCAACAGUUCAUGUUGCAGUGCAAGUGAGGUGUAUUAAAGCCAGGCUUGAAAGUUACGCGAAUUUGGCCAAAACGGCGAUGAAUGAAUUUGCCAAGUGAGAGCCAAUUUGGUGUGACCCAUUUGUGUGUGUGUGUGUCGAUCGAUUCCGAACGAAAAUUGUGGAAGGUCAUCCUCGUGUGGAAGCUGCCAAAUUGAUUCGUUUAGCGUGAACACAGUGAAGAUUCGGCGAAUGAUUCUGGGUAAAGUUUGAGCGUCGCGACGCACCCGUGCCCGUGCGAGAUGUUGUUUAGAGAAGAGUUAAGCUAGUGUGAGGGUCGUCGGUUGAUGGUGUGUUAAAAAUACCCUCCUGCCUG